Molecule: long non-coding RNA, 458 nt
Organism: Esox lucius (northern pike)
Lineage: Eukaryota; Metazoa; Chordata; Actinopteri; Esociformes; Esocidae
Source: Ensembl
GUGAAACGUCGCGCACUGAGUGACCCCCUUUGUACGUCCUGAUACAAGAGGUGCACAGUGUCCCGAGUUGGGUCCCGGAGCUCUUUUCCAGGUUUUUGUCGGAAUCAUCUUAUUCAAGACAAAGCCCAUCGUCGGCUACCCACCAGAGUACAAGCAGACAAUAUUUCUUAAGCAGCUAGUGGUUCCUGCUAUGGUGAGGGGGAACAUGAAGAAGGCAUAUAUAAGUUGACGGUGAAAGUCUAAAGCGUACAUGCUCCAGGUUAUGUGACAUCCUGGCCAGAACCAUUGACCCUCUUGGGAUUUCUUCGUCUCCACCGAGAAAGCUAGCCAGCAUAUCAUCACUGGACAACCAGAAUCACUGCGUUCAGCGCGAGAGAUUUAAAGAAAACAACAUUUUGCAAAUAGGGAAGGGGUCUAACUGUCCUGCUGGAAAGGAAAGAGAAGAUGGAGGAAAGGGG